UUUAUAUUUCCGGUCCAAUCCGUAAACGUCAGAACAUGGGGAAAUAUUAUUGUUGCAUGACAAAUUGUCAUAAUUUUCAGGGCCAUUGCCACAAGACAUUCUCAACAUUCCACUGACUUCAUACUUGCCCACCGAUAUGGAGGAAGUGGAUUUGAGAUCUGAAAUGACAACAAUGGUCAUACGGGUUCUUUGUGAGAACAUACUUAUGUUUCAUCAUUUGAGCAAAGAGAUAACAGCUCACAUCAAGCACAGAUAUUCAAAAGAGAGUUCAAAGAAAAGCAUUCUGGUCAGUGAAAUAUGAAAAGGGGUGGGAUCUUUCUCAGUGGUAGAGUGUGUGCCCAAGUUCUGGGGUCACAGGAUAAGGUGAUUGAAAAAUGUUUCCUUCAUUCCAG
This is a long non-coding RNA of Gigantopelta aegis, 392 nucleotides long. RefSeq lists it as uncharacterized. The record is from RefSeq and is a predicted model, not a curated record. NCBI's taxonomy places the organism in Eukaryota, Metazoa, Mollusca, Gastropoda, Neomphalida, Peltospiridae. The transcript has 3 exons.